RNAcentral lists this ribosomal RNA (200 nucleotides) under uncultured bacterium. RNAcentral's name for it is "partial 16S ribosomal RNA". It matches the Rfam family "Bacterial small subunit ribosomal RNA", at positions 8 to 202 of the family's 1533-position model. The record is from RNAcentral.
AGAGUUUGAUCAUGGCUCAGAACGAACGCUGGCGGCGUGCUUAACACAUGCAAGUCGAGUGCGCGCCCCGAUAGCAAUAUCGGGGUGGCGCACGGCGCACGGGUGCGUAACACGUGGGCAAUCUGCCCUCCGAUGGGGAAUAACUCCGGGAAACCGAAGCUAAUUCCGCAUAACAUUCCCUGGACUCCGGUUCGGGGAUU